Long non-coding RNA from Armigeres subalbatus, 635 nucleotides. RefSeq lists it as uncharacterized. The transcript has 3 exons. Lineage: Eukaryota; Metazoa; Arthropoda; Insecta; Diptera; Culicidae. The record is from RefSeq and is a predicted model, not a curated record.
UCAAAUUUGGGUCAGCAUAACUCAAAAUAAUAACUUCUACUGAAACGUCAAACGCUGAGUAACUGUGAUUUAUUAUUUUGAGUAGCUUUGACUCAUAUUUGUAUAAAUUGUAUCCGAACUCAAAUAUGAGUUCACCGCGAAAAUUUCGAGAAGUCCAACGAUUACUGGUAGAUCCUCAUCAUUACGACGACGACAUUUAAACGCAUGCUUGAAGCAACGGGAAACAGCAAGUUUGAAGAGCGUAACUAACAUGAUGGUGCCAUAGUGAACAGUUUUCAGGACUGAUCAGAUUGAACAACAUAUCUCUCACCAGAUACAAUGUUUCGGAAAUUUAUUGGCAACCCCCAGAAACGCUCCCAGACGUAUCAUAACAAGCGACCACCGAAGAUGUUUGAGGACCUUUAUUUAUUAUUAUGUUUAUUAGUUUAGUCACAGAUAUCUGUGGUUUAAUAUUGUAUUAUCCUGAAAGAGGAUAUGAACUACAGAAAAAGAUUAUCGCCAGGCGUUGAUUUUCUCUCAGUCAUGUUUUGUUCAAUGACAGCAACAGUUUUGUUCAAUGACGGCAGUGACAAUCUUUCUCUGUAGUUUAAUAACCUCUUUAAUGUUGCUGUAAUAAAUGUUAUUUUGUUUUUUUU